CAGUUCAGAUCGUAGGCUGCAACUCGCCUACGUGAAGGAGGAAUCGCUAGUAAUCGCAGGUCAGCAUACUGCGGUGAAUACGUUCCCGGGCCUUGUACACACCGCCCGUCACACCAUGGAAGUUGGCCACGCCCGAAGUCGUUACUCCAACCCUCUGGGAGGAGGACGCCGAAGGUGGGGCUGAUGACUGGGGUGAAGUCGUAACAAGGUAGCCGUACCGGAAGGUGCGGCUGGAUCACCUCCUAA
This 246-nucleotide ribosomal RNA is filed under the name uncultured cyanobacterium. Its description in RNAcentral is "partial 16S ribosomal RNA". It matches the Rfam family "Bacterial small subunit ribosomal RNA", at positions 1289 to 1533 of the family's 1533-position model. The record is from RNAcentral. Lineage: Bacteria; Bacillati; Cyanobacteriota.